AUUGAACGCUGGCGGCAUGCCUUACACAUGCAAGUCGAACGGCAGCGCGGGAGCAAUCCUGGCGGCGAGUGGCGAACGGGUGAGUAAUAUAUCGGAACGUGCCCAGUAGUGGGGGAUAGCCCGGCGAAAGCCGGAUUAAUACCGCAUACGACCUGAGGGUGAAAGGGGGGGAUCGCAAGACCUCUCGCUAUUGGAGCGGCCGAUAUCAGAUUAGGUAGUUGGUGGGGUAAAGGCCUACCAAGACUGCGAUCUGUAGUUGGUCUGAGAGGACGACCAGCCACACGUGAACUAAGACACGGCCCGGACGCCGACGGGAGGCAGCAGUGGGGAAUGUUGGACAAUGGGCGCAAGCCUGAUCCAGCAAUGCCGCGUGCAGGAAGAAGGCCUUCGGGUUGUAAACUGCUUUUGUCAGGGAAGAAAUCCUCUAGGCUAAUACCUUGGGGGGAUGACGGUACCUGAAGAAUAAGCACCGGCUAACUACGUGCCAGCCGCCGCCGUAA
This 500-nucleotide ribosomal RNA is filed under the name uncultured bacterium. RNAcentral describes it as "partial 16S ribosomal RNA". It matches the Rfam family "Bacterial small subunit ribosomal RNA", at positions 29 to 523 of the family's 1533-position model. The record is from RNAcentral.